UACAGAGGUCUCAACCGUUGUUCGGAUUCAUUGGGCGUAAAGGGUGCGUAGGCGGUCGUGCAAGUCGGAUGUGAAAUCUCAGGGCUCAACCCUGAAACUGCAUUCGAUACUGCGCGGCUAGAGUGCUGGAGGGGAGACUGGAAUUUACGGUGUAGCAGUGAAAUGCGUAGAUAUGCGGAGGAACACCGAUGGCGAAGGCAAUCCCCUGGGCCUGCACUGACGCUCAUGCACGAAAGCGUGGGGAGCAAACAGG
Molecule: ribosomal RNA, 253 nt
Filed under: uncultured bacterium
Lineage: Bacteria
Description: partial 16S ribosomal RNA
Rfam family: Bacterial small subunit ribosomal RNA
Source: RNAcentral